RNAcentral lists this ribosomal RNA (465 nucleotides) under uncultured Klebsiella sp. RNAcentral's name for it is "bacterial SSU rRNA". It matches the Rfam family "Bacterial small subunit ribosomal RNA", at positions 338 to 795 of the family's 1533-position model. The record is from RNAcentral. Lineage: Bacteria; Pseudomonadati; Pseudomonadota; Gammaproteobacteria; Enterobacterales; Enterobacteriaceae.
CCUACGGGGGGCAGCAGUGGGGAAUAUUGCACAAUGGGCGCAAGCCUGAUGCAGCCAUGCCGCGUGUGUGAAGAAGGCCUUCGGGUUGUAAAGCACUUUCAGCGGGGAGGAAGGCGUUAAGGUUAAUAACCUUGUCGAUUGACGUUACCCGCAGAAGAAGCACCGGCUAACUCCGUGCCAGCAGCCGCGGUAAUACGGAGGGUGCAAGCGUUAAUCGGAAUUACUGGGCGUAAAGCGCACGCAGGCGGUCUGUCAAGUCGGAUGUGAAAUCCCCGGGCUCAACCUGGGAACUGCAUUCGAAACUGGCAGGCUAGAGUCUUGUAGAGGGGGGUAGAAUUCCAGGUGUAGCGGUGAAAUGCGUAAAGAUCUGGAGGAAUACCGGUGGCGAAGGCGGCCCCCUGGACAAAGACUGACGCUCAGGUGCGAAAGCGUGGGGAGCAAACAGGAUUAGAUACCCGAGUAGUC